Molecule: small nuclear RNA, 107 nt
Filed under: Cebus imitator (Panamanian white-faced capuchin)
Lineage: Eukaryota; Metazoa; Chordata; Mammalia; Primates; Cebidae
Source: RNAcentral
GUGCUUGUUUUGGCAGCACAUAUACUAAAAUUGGAACGAUGCAGAGAAGAUUAGCAUGGCCCCUGUGCAAGGAUGACACACAAAUUCGUGAAGAGUUCCAUAUUAAA